GGCCCCGUCCCGUGUGGAGGACACUCUGCGGACGACGAGUACAAGGCCCGCGGGCCUCGGGAGUGCCAGGGUGAGAGAAGGUCACGUACUCUGACUCCGUUCAUGUAACUUUCUUAAAUGACAAGUGAUAUAAAUGGAGAACAGAGGCGCGGCCGCCUGGGGCCACUGACCGAUGAACGCCGUGAACCGGCGAUGCUGCGGGGUCCCAAGGGCAGGCGCUCUGGGUCGCGACGGGAUCCACGUCAGGCCCUGCUGGUGACGUUGACUGCCGUGACACCUGAGGGACUGCGUAGAACGCGUGUGGGUCAGCUCUUCUCUCUCCCAAGUGCGUGUAUCUGUCUCCAGUUAUCUCAGAGCAGGCGUUGAGACGUCUGGAGUGGCGCAGCCCACAGCCAACCUGAAGCCGGCCUUCACAGACGGACGGCCCGCUGUCCUGAGGGAGGGUGACCGCGUCAGCGCUCUGGGGAGGCCCGCCAGGACCGUGAGGGUCCCACAGUUGCUCCGUCAGUGGAAGAGUCCAGGAAAGGCCAUUUCUAAGGUAAGACUGUGACUCAGCUAGCAGUCAGCAUAGUGCUGGAACUUACUUUUAAAGGGCUGUAAUAGUUGUGGUUCAUUCUGGAGCACAGAUGUCAAAGACAUGGCAGGAAUUGGGUUUAGCCCAACGCAAAGAAGUGUGUGGGGUUUUUUUUCCUUUCUUUUUAAACAACAGGCACGUUCAAAGAAAAAAAUAAAAUGAAAAUGAGAUUUUUCUCUCGGGAAGUAGAAAUAACCUUGGUGUGAUGGAAAUGCUUGGUGUUGGAGACCAGCUUCUGGAGGCCUGGCCCCGACUGGGGCUGCGUCUGGUUCAGGGCCAUGCAGGGUUCCGUGGGGAGGCGCCUGUCGUGAGCCACAGCUCUGGAGCCCACUGCCACAGCCGCUGUAUAGGCUGCUGACCGUUGACCCGGGUGCUCAUACCUCUGCCGCCCCAGGGAAGCUUCGAGAGGAAAACCAGAAGGACACAGAAGGCAGCUGUGCAAACAGGAAGCGGCCCACGAUUCAUCCCCUUUCAGGUUCAGAGCUAGGACUGUAACCCUGGGAAAAUUUUAGCGUACCUCUCCAGACCUCUGUGAUGGUCAAGGGCUUCCUCCUCCGUGGGCACUGGGCCAGCAGCGCCCGCCCCUCUGCUCUCCCGGACCCAAGCCAGCACCGGUCACCUGGCCUUGCAGCUUCGAAUGGAGGAACGUGUUGCUGCUGGUCCCUGAGCUCAUUUCUACACGCGGCCCUUCCAAAGUGGGCGUCUGUCUGGGCCAGGACCGGCAGGUCAGAUACAACACGAUCCCUCAGCUGUCCAGGGCCCUGCAGCUUGGCCACUCCGAGUGCCCGGGCCUGCCUCCGCACAUGUGCUGCAGACCGCAGGGGAAGGCGGGAAGCCGGCCGGGCUGAGAACCUCAGAGCAGAGCCACAGCCACACAUGACGUCCGAUGAAGCCCGUGAAACGGCGAAAAAGGGAGGAGUGCGUGUUUCUGAAGUGAAACACGCGGGCUGAGUCCUGAGUGCCAAGGAGAACCCGGGCAGAAACGGUGGGUCAUUUCCGAGGGAGGCAGAAGCAGGCUAGCACAGCAGCUCUGGAGUCAGAAGGAAGCAGAGCAUCUCUGAGGGACGCACAAAUCCCAGGAAGCCCGAAUGCAGCCAGAGAGGGAGGAAAUCACGCCCAAAGAAGUAAAAAACAAACGGAAGACACCAAAAGGCAGAAGAGGGAGUUGAUAAAGAGAAAAGCUUAAUUAAUUAAGUAAUUAAAUCAGAAAGUACAGAAUUA
Neogale vison (American mink) is the source of this 1795-nucleotide long non-coding RNA. RefSeq lists it as uncharacterized. The transcript has 2 exons. NCBI's taxonomy places the organism in Eukaryota, Metazoa, Chordata, Mammalia, Carnivora, Mustelidae. The record is from RefSeq and is a predicted model, not a curated record.